AAAGGAAUAGACGGGGGCCCGCACAAGCAGUGGAGUAUGUGGUUUAAUUCGAAGCAACGCGAAGAACCUUACCAGGGCUUGACAUCCCUUGAAGUUGGUAGAGAUAUCAACGUCCUUCGGGACAAGGAGACAGGUGGUGCAUGGUUGUCGUCAGCUCGUGUCGUGAGAUGUUGGGUUAAGUCCCGCAACGAGCGCAACCCCUGUUGUUAGUUGCCAUCAUUAAGUUGGGCACUCUAGCGAGACUGCCGGUGACAAAUCGGAGGAAGGUGGGGACGACGUCAAAUCAUCAUGCCCCUUAUGUCCUGGGCUACACACGUACUACAAUGGCUAUUACAGAGGGAAGCUAAGCCGCAAGGUGGAGCAAAUCCCCAAAAAUAGUCCCAGUUCAGAUUGUGGGCUGAAACUCGCCCACAUGAAGUCGGAAUUGCUAGUAAUGGCAGGUCAGCAUACUGCCGUGAAUACGUUCCCGGGCCUUGUACACACCGCCCGU
Molecule: ribosomal RNA, 490 nt
Filed under: uncultured bacterium
Lineage: Bacteria
Description: bacterial SSU rRNA
Rfam family: Bacterial small subunit ribosomal RNA
Source: RNAcentral